UAUUAAAAAUUUUAUUUAUUUAUAUUAUUAAAAAUUGGUAUAGCUGGUGGAAUAACUAGAAAAAAUACAUAUGAUGUGAGACAUACAUCUCAUGCUCAUUACCAACUAGACUAAUUUUUAAUAGUAGAAAUAAAUAGAAUUUUUAAUA
This 148-nucleotide microRNA precursor is filed under the name Gossypium arboreum. RNAcentral's name for it is "MIR7502 microRNA precursor family". It matches the Rfam family "MIR7502 microRNA precursor family". The record is from Rfam by way of RNAcentral. Lineage: Eukaryota; Viridiplantae; Streptophyta; Magnoliopsida; Malvales; Malvaceae.